This is a non-coding RNA of Schistosoma curassoni, 47 nucleotides long. The record is from Rfam. Lineage: Eukaryota; Metazoa; Platyhelminthes; Trematoda; Strigeidida; Schistosomatidae.
AUCCAGCUGUUGAGUCCUAAAAACAGAACGAAACGCGCGUCCUGGAU